GAGGAGCUGUCAAAGUCACCUGUGCGCAUGCACGUGUGAGUAGCUCAUCCGAGGACGCGCCGACAGAACAUUCUUCCAAAUCCUCAUUCCAGAAGCGUGCUGAAGUCACAACAAGGAGGGCACGAGCACUCGGCUGAUGGCGGCAACAAAGAGAGGCGGCGGCAUGCUGCGUGACCUGCAGGUGGCGUUGCAGCGGAAGAUUGAGGAGCUGACGGAGCGAGACGCGCUGAUUGAGGAGCUGGAGUCAGAACUGGAUGCCAAAGAUCUCCUGAUUGGCCAUUUGCGGGCCGAGCUGGACCGUCAUCGUAGUUUGAUGCCGGGCACCGACGAUACUGCCGCUGCACAGACACCCGACGCAGCAGGUGGCGCUCCAGCAAUGCCAGCACCGUCACUCGAUGAGCCUCAGCGCACCAAGAGACAGGCCAUAUCGGCAGAACCCAGCGCUCUGGAUCCUGCCCGACUCACCGACGUCACGCUCACCAGCUACUGCAAGAGCAAAGAGUCCAGCGAGCUGAUCCAGAGAGCGCUGAUGGACAAUGACUUCAUGAAGCAUCUGGAACAUGGACAGAUCCUCACCAUCUUGGACUGCAUGCGGCCCACCAGCCUGGACAAAGGCUGCUGCGUCAUCCAGGAGGGCGACGACGGAUCUAGCGUCUUUGUUCUGGAGGAGGGCAUGGUGGAGGUGAGCAAAGAAGGCAAAAAGCUGUGCACCAUCGGCCCCGGCAAAGUCUUUGGCGAACUCGCCAUCUUGUACAACUGCACGCGCACGGCUACAGUGACGGCUCUGACCGACAUCAAGUUGUGGGCCAUUGAUCGCCAGGGCUUUCAGACCAUUAUGAUGAGGACCGGCCUCAUCAAGCAUUCCCAGUACACGGACUUCCUGCGCAGCGUUCCGUCCUUCCAGGCCCUUCCAGAGGACGUUCUCAGCAAGCUGGCUGAUGUUCUGGAGGAGACUCACUAUAGCAAUGGCGACUACAUCAUCCGGCAGGGCGCCACGGGAGACACCUUCUUCAUUAUCAGUGAAGGGCAGGUGACGGUGUGGCAGCAGACCGCCCCCAGUGGUCAGCAGGUGCCGGUGAAGACGCUGUCCAAAGGCGACUGGUUUGGCGAGCAAGCGCUGAAAGGGGAAGAUGUGCGUACGGCCAGCGUGACAGCAGAGGGCGCCGUCACCUGUCUGGUGGUAGACAGAGAGUCCUUCAAGCAGCUGAUCGGCGGCUUAGAGGAAGUGGACCGCCAGCAGGGAGACGACGAGCACGUCAAAGCCAAGUGCCCGGCUGAGGACGACUUCUUCUCCGGCGUGACGCUCGACGACCUUGCCGUGGUCUGCACCUUGGGCAUGGGUGGCUUCAGCCGCGUGGAGCUGGUGCACCUCAAGAGAGACGCCGGGCGCUCCUUCGCCCUCAAAGUGUUGAAGAAGCGCCACAUUCUGGACACCAGGCAGCAGGAGCACAUCCUGUCGGAACGCCGCAUCAUGAUGGAAGUCAACAGCCCCUUCAUCAUCAGGUUGUACCGCACCUUCCGGGACCCCAAAUACUUGUAUAUGCUGCUAAAGGUUUGUCUUGGCGGAGAGCUGUGGACGCUCUUAAGAGACAGGGGCUCCUUUGACGACGGGACCACAAGAUUCUACACGGCGUGCGUUAUCGAGGCUCUGGCGGAGCUCCACUGUAAAGGGAUCAUCUACCGAGACCUCAAGCCGGAGAAUAUCAUCCUUGACCACAGAGGCUACGCCAAGUUGGUGGAUUUUGGCUUCGCUAAGAAGGUGGGCUUGGGGAAGAAGACCUGGACCUUCUGCGGGACCCCCGAGUACGUGGCCCCCGAGAUCAUCCUCAACAAAGGUCACGACAGCUCGGCCGACUGCUGGUCCCUGGGGAUCCUGGUCUUUGAGCUUCUCAGCGGAAGUCCGCCGUUUUCCGGCUCGGACCCCAUGAAGACGUACAACAUCAUCUUGAGGGGGAUCGACAUGGUGGAAUUCCCCAAAAAGAUCACCAAGAGUGCCGCAAACCUCAUCAAGAGACUCUGCAGGGACAACCCCUCGGAACGUCUCGGGAACCAGAAGAACGGCGUAAAGGACAUUCAGAAGCACAAGUGGUUCGAGGGCUUCAACUGGGAUGGCCUCCGCCAGGGAACCUUGGACUGUCCCUUUAUGCCAAGGGUGGACGGCCCGUUGGACAACAGCAACUUUGAUGACUUCCCCCUGGACACCGAGGGCCCUCCCCCUGAUGACGAGUCAGGCUGGGACCUGGAGUUCUGAAACAGCUUGGCCAGGUCAGAGGCUCAAUGGAGAACGCACAAGGGAGUAUAUGUGGCGCUGACGUCGGACUCAGUAUCAGUUGCAGCUAUUCCACCCUCGCCUGGCUGGAGCUGAGGGAUCAAUUGGCCAAAGCCAAGCUGUGACGUCUUCAUAACGUGACUUCCAACCGCAAGCAGAGGAGGUCUCUCACAUUUGGAUUCCGCUGCGGUGACUUAAGACUGCAAGACAGGAAAUAGAACAAAGGGUGCAUUUAUUAAAUAAAAACACACGGCUUUGGUAAUUCCAGCGACACACACAAAAUGCGCCCUGCAACAAUGUGAGGCCAAUUUCCUGUGACCUCUCAAGAUAAACAGUGACCCAUGCGUAUGUUUAGGAGAAAAGGCAAUUUAGCUACGCAGUUGCUAAAUGAUCAUAGUGCCAAGUAGCAAACCAGUGAUUCUGAUGUAUUGGUACAAUAUGACAAGUCGUGUGUGUUAUGAUUCAUAAUCUUAUUUUGUGCUGUUUGCCCAGUGUCGAGACCUGCCCUUGGGCUGUACUUUGUCAAGUUUCUCUCACCUCUGCAUAAAGUUUGUGACUGUGCAAAAAGCGAAGAUCCACUAUCCCCAGACUAUGUGCCAAGUAUGUUUGAGGAUACCCAGUCACUUCAAAAACCAAAACUCAAAUGAUCAAUGAAGAUCUUUGAGAGAAGACAAAAUCUCAAGCAGCGCAAUAGUGACCGCGAGAGGGCAUUGGCAGCAGCAGCAGCAGCAGCAGCAGCAGCAGCAGCACUUGUCAAUAUUUCCCAGUCUGUCCCUUGUGAAAAUGAUCAACUACCCGCUGGUGAAGAUGUGGUGCACGCUGAGAUUCGAAAAGAAGGCAUGGUGACUACUGCCACACAGACGGAUAUCACUGGGGAAGCAAUGGAUUCCCUCACUGCAGAGUGUAAAAAUCUGCGUGCGGAACUUGAUGAACUAAUUCGCCCAGCUCUUUGUUGAAACCAAGUUGUUGAUGUUGCUUGGCCCCUGGACUCUUCUUCAACCGCAGAUAUCUGAAAAACAUUUGAAUAAAAAUUGUUGUCACUA
Molecule: RNA transcript, 3312 nt
Organism: Syngnathus typhle (broad-nosed pipefish)
Lineage: Eukaryota; Metazoa; Chordata; Actinopteri; Syngnathiformes; Syngnathidae
Gene name: cGMP-dependent protein kinase 1-like
Exons: 23
Source: RefSeq, a predicted model, not a curated record